Molecule: transfer RNA, 72 nt
Filed under: Nematostella vectensis (starlet sea anemone)
Lineage: Eukaryota; Metazoa; Cnidaria; Anthozoa; Actiniaria; Edwardsiidae
Rfam family: tRNA
About the family: Transfer RNA (tRNA) molecules are approximately 80 nucleotides in length.
Source: Rfam by way of RNAcentral
GUGGAUGUAGCUCAGUGGUAGAGCGUCCUCUUCACAUGCGGAAGGCCCGGGGUUCGAUCCCCCGCAUCUCCA